UAGGGAAUUUUCGUCAAUGGGCGCAAGCCUGAACGAGCGAUGCCGCGUGAGUGAAGAAGGCCUUCGGUCGUAAAGCUCUGUUGCGGGGGAAAAAAGGGACAGCAUCAGGAAAUGGGUUGCUGACUGAUGGUGCCCC
This 136-nucleotide ribosomal RNA is filed under the name uncultured bacterium. Its description in RNAcentral is "partial 16S ribosomal RNA". It matches the Rfam family "Bacterial small subunit ribosomal RNA", at positions 355 to 481 of the family's 1533-position model. The record is from RNAcentral.